This 354-nucleotide ribosomal RNA is filed under the name Gymnodinium catenatum. RNAcentral's name for it is "partial Bacterial large subunit ribosomal RNA". It matches the Rfam family "Bacterial large subunit ribosomal RNA", at positions 1597 to 1964 of the family's 2925-position model. Lineage: Eukaryota; Dinophyceae; Gymnodiniales; Gymnodiniaceae. The record is from RNAcentral.
UUUAAUUUUUCUCAGGAAACAGCAUUAAAAUAAAUAAAACCGUACCUUAAACCGACUCAGGUAGAUGGGUAGAAUAUACUAAGGCGUUCAAGGUAAUUAUGUUGAAGGAACUCGGCAAAUUGGCUCUGUAACUUCGGGAGAAGGAGUGACGAAUAGGGGGAAAUCCUUUAUUCGUUGACACUAAAGAAGGAGAAACAACUGUUUAACAAAAACACAGGUCUCUGCUAAUUUGAAAAAAGAUGUAUAGAGACUGACACCUGCCCGGUGCUGUAAGGUUAACUUGAUUUGCUGUGGCAAUGAGAUUAAGCUCCAGUAAACGGCGGCUUUAACUCUGAGGGUCCAAAGGUAGCGAAA